This 301-nucleotide ribosomal RNA is filed under the name uncultured bacterium. Its description in RNAcentral is "partial 16S ribosomal RNA". It matches the Rfam family "Bacterial small subunit ribosomal RNA", at positions 509 to 809 of the family's 1533-position model. The record is from RNAcentral.
CAGUAGCCGCGGGAAUACAGAGGGUGCGAGCGUUAAUCGGAUUUACUGGGCGUAAAGCGUGCGUAGGCGGCUUCUUAAGUCGGAUGUGAAAUCCCUGAGCUUAACUUAGGAAUUGCAUUCGAUACUGGGAAGCUAGAGUAUGGGAGAGGAUGGUAGAAUUCCAGGUGUAGCGGUGAAAUGCGUAGAGAUCUGGAGGAAUACCGAUGGCGAAGGCAGCCAUCUGGCCUAAUACUGACGCUGAGGUACGAAAGCAUGGGGAGCAAACAGGAUUAGAUACCCCCGUAGUCCUUGUCUCUUAUAA